RNAcentral lists this small nucleolar RNA (83 nucleotides) under Bemisia tabaci. RNAcentral's name for it is "small nucleolar RNA R38". It matches the Rfam family "Small nucleolar RNA R38". Rfam says of the family: snoR38 is a C/D box small nucleolar RNA conserved across yeast, human, Arabidopsis and rice. It is encoded in the intron of elongation factor-1 gamma in both pombe and cerevisiae. snoR38 guides the methylation of 2'-O-ribose sites in 28S rRNA. The record is from RNAcentral. Lineage: Eukaryota; Metazoa; Arthropoda; Insecta; Hemiptera; Aleyrodidae.
CAGGUUUAAUGAUGAAAACAUUCAAUUCAACCAGUUAUCCCUGUCAGACAAUGGUGUGGUGAUGGUGUUACUCUGAAAUCAUG